Molecule: ribosomal RNA, 278 nt
Filed under: uncultured bacterium
Lineage: Bacteria
Description: partial 16S ribosomal RNA
Rfam family: Bacterial small subunit ribosomal RNA
Source: RNAcentral
UACGUAGGUGGCAAGCGUUGUCCGGAUUUACUGGGCGUAAAGGGUAUGCAGGCGGGUGCCUAAGUAGGAAGUGAAAGGUUGGGGCUCAACCCUAACACUGCUCCCUAUACUGGGCGCCUGGAGGGCCGGAGAGGACGAGGGAACGACCCGUGUAGCGGUGAAAUGCGUUGAGAUGGGUCGGAACACCUAUGGCGAAAGCACUCGUCUGGACGGUAGUUGAGCUUUGUGCUUGACUUUAAAUCUGACGCUGAGAUACGAAAGCCAAGGGAGCAAACAGG